UUUGGUCUGGCCAAGAUCCAGCACGAAGACGACAGCCAUGUGUCUACACGGGUGAUGGGGACUUUCGGGUACAUGGCAUCGGAGUACACCAACACCGGGAAAAUAACCGACUGGUCUGAUGUCUUCUCCUUCGGCGUCGUGCUUCUGGAGAUCAUCACCGGCAAGAGACUGGUCCUGUCCGACGAGCCCGACGAGGACGAUGAGACUCUGGUCUCUUGGGUGAGUCGUUUUUACCCUGAAUCCUAG
Molecule: ribosomal RNA, 246 nt
Filed under: Triticum aestivum (bread wheat)
Lineage: Eukaryota; Viridiplantae; Streptophyta; Magnoliopsida; Poales; Poaceae
Description: partial small subunit ribosomal RNA
Source: RNAcentral